GACGAACGCUGGCGGCGUGCUUAACACAUGCAAGUCGAACGGAACCUUCCUGUUUAUGUGGGGAGCUCGCGUGGCCAACGGGUGAGUCACCCGUGAGUACCCUGCCACUGCCUUUGGGAUAACUUCAGGAAACUGGAGCUCAUCCGGGAUAGGAGCUUCUGCUGCUUGGUGGGGUUUGGAAAGUUUCGGCGGUUGGGGAUGGACUCGCGGCUUAUCAGCAUGUUGCUGGGGUAGUGGCAUACCAAGGCUUUGACGGGUAGCCGGCCUGCGAGGGUGACCGGCCACAAUGGGACUGAGAUGCGGCCCAGACUACUACGGGAGGGGACAGUGGGGUAGGUUGCACAAUAGGCGGAAGGCAGAUGCAGCAACGCAGCGUGCGGGAUGACAGCCUUCGGGUUGUGAACCGCUUUCGCCUUUGACGGAGCGAGAGUGACGGUAAUGGGUAAAGAAGCACCGGCUAACUACGUG
This 468-nucleotide ribosomal RNA is filed under the name uncultured bacterium. Its description in RNAcentral is "partial 16S ribosomal RNA". It matches the Rfam family "Bacterial small subunit ribosomal RNA", at positions 28 to 507 of the family's 1533-position model. The record is from RNAcentral.